AACUAACGCUGGCGGCGUGCCUAACACAUGCAAGUCGUACGAGAAAGCCGGCUUCGGCUGGUGAGUAAAGUGGCGCACGGGUGAGUAACGCGUGGAUAAUCUGCCCUUAAGUGUGGAAUAACGUACCGAAAGGUGCGCUAAUACCGCAUAAUGCCUGACAACACAAGUUGUCCGGCCAAAGAAGGCCUCUGUUUACAAGCUUUCGCUUCAGGAUGAGUCCGCGUACCAUUAGCUUGUUGGUGGGGUAAUGGCCUACCAAGGCUGCGAUGGUUAGCUGGUCUGAGAGGAUGAUCAGCCACACUGGAACUGAGACACGGUCCAGACUCCUACGGGAGGCAGCAGUGAGGAAUAUUGCGCAAUGGGGGCAACCCUGACGCAGCAACGCCGCGUGAGUGAGGAAGGUUUUCGGACUGUAAAGCUCUGUCGAGCGGGAAGAAGUGUACCAUGGCUAAUAUCCAUGAUAUUUGACGGUACCGCUAGAGG
This 483-nucleotide ribosomal RNA is filed under the name uncultured bacterium. RNAcentral's name for it is "bacterial SSU rRNA". It matches the Rfam family "Bacterial small subunit ribosomal RNA", at positions 29 to 487 of the family's 1533-position model. The record is from RNAcentral.